RNAcentral lists this ribosomal RNA (478 nucleotides) under uncultured bacterium. RNAcentral's name for it is "partial 16S ribosomal RNA". It matches the Rfam family "Bacterial small subunit ribosomal RNA", at positions 28 to 523 of the family's 1533-position model. The record is from RNAcentral.
GACGAACGCUGGCGGCGUGCUUAACACAUGCAAGUCGAACGGUAAGGCCCUUCGGGGUACACGAGUGGCGAACGGGUGAGUAACACGUGGGUGAUCUGCCCUGCACUUCGGGAUAAGCCUGGGAAACUGGGUCUAAUACCGGAUAGGACCACUGCCUGCAUGGGUGGUGGUGGAAAGCUUUUGCGGUGUGGGAUGGGCCCGCGGCCUAUCAGCUUGUUGGUGGGGUGAUGGCCUACCAAGGCGACGACGGGUAGCCGGCCUGGGAGGGUGACCGGCCACAGUGGGACUGAGAUACGGCCCAGACUCCUACGGGAGGCAGCAUGGGGGAAUAUUGCACAAUGGGCGCAAGCCUGAUGCAGCGACGCCGCGUGAGGGAUGACGGCCUUCGGGUUGUAAACCUCUUUCAGCAUCGACGAAGCGAAAGUGACGGUAGGUGCAGAAGAAGGACCGGCCAACUACGUGCCAGCCGCCGCCGUAA